CUGAGGUAUUGGAGUGCCCGCAGACCCCAUUGGGAGGUCCACCAGCAUGAUACUACCAGGGACUCAUGGGUAGACUUUCUGUCAAGCACAGUCAGUUGGAACCAUGUCCUUAUCUGCCUCAUUCCCAGUCACCCUCCCCCCACCCCCGGAGUUCCUGCCUCAGGACUCCGGGUGCUACUGGAGAGAAACGGAUUUCUCCAGCCCUGACCAGCAUAGCUGGGGUUUUCAGCCAUUGCUAUAAUAAAAACCAAGUACCAUAUGAAAAUCAAUGUGCAACAGGAAAUGAGCAUCGUCGUGUGAAGAUAUGCAGUGCCCAAACAGGCAUACACAUUCUAUUAGUUCAGCGUGGUGUGAAAACAGGGGUGUUCUCCAGACCUUGA
Molecule: long non-coding RNA, 380 nt
Filed under: Mustela putorius furo (domestic ferret)
Lineage: Eukaryota; Metazoa; Chordata; Mammalia; Carnivora; Mustelidae
Description: lncRNA (ENSMPUG00000027386.1)
Source: RNAcentral